This 326-nucleotide ribosomal RNA is filed under the name uncultured eukaryote. Its description in RNAcentral is "partial 18S ribosomal RNA". It matches the Rfam family "Eukaryotic small subunit ribosomal RNA", at positions 1470 to 1796 of the family's 1831-position model. The record is from RNAcentral.
CCCUUAGAUGUCCUGGGCCGCACGCGCGCUACACUGAUGCAUUCAACGAGUAUUUCCUUGGCCGAGAGGCCUGGGCAAUCUUUUAAACCUGCAUCGUGAUAGGGAUAGAUUAUUGAAAUUAUUAAUCUUGAACGAGGAAUUCCUAGUAAACGCAGAUCAUCAAUCUGCAUUGAUUACGUCCCUGCCCUUUGUACACACCGCCCGUCGCACCUACCGAUUGGAUGGUCCGGUGAAGCCUCGGGAUUGUGGUUCUUGCCGCUUUAUUGUGGCGUGACCGCGAGAACUUGUCUAAACCUUAUCAUCUAGAGGAAGGUGAAGUCGUAACA